GCGAUUAGGGCCGUUAUUAGCGUUAUUAGCGGGCUAUUAGGGCUAAUAGGGCCGCUAUUAGGGCUAAUAGGGCUGUUAUUAGGGUAAUAGGGCUGGUAUUAGGGGUAUUAGGGCCGUUAUUAGCGUUAUUAGCCCGUUACUAGGGCUAAUAGGGCCGGUAUUAGGGUAAUAGGGCCAUUAUUAGGGCUAAUAGGGCCAGUAUUAGGGGUAAUAGGGCCGGUAUUAGGGCUAAUAGGGCCUGUAUUAGGGUAAUAGGGCUGGUAUUAGGGCUAAUAUGGUUGCUAAUAGGGGUAUUAGGGCUGUUAUUAGCAUUAUUAGCCCGGUAUUAGGGCUAAUAGGGCCGCUAUUAGGGCUAAUAGGGCUGUUAUUAGGGUAAUAGGGCUGUUAUUAGGGGUAUUAGGGCCGUUAUUAGCAUUAUUAGCCCGUUAUUAGGGGUAAUAGGGCUGUUAUUAGCGUUAUUAGCCUGUUACUAGGGCUAAUAGGGCCGCUAUUAGGGCUAACAGGGCUGUUAUUAGGGCUAAUAGGGCUGUUAUUAGGGAAUUACUAGGGGUUUGGGGGGAGUUAUUAGGGUUAUUAGGGGAUUAUUAGGGGUAAUAGGGCAUUUAUUAGGAAGAUUAGGGCCGUUAUUAGCGUUAUUAGCUGGUUAUUAGGGCUAAUAGGGCGAUUAUUAGGGCUAAUAGGGAGCUUAUUAGGGUUAUUAAUUGUUAACUAGUGCUAAUAGGGCGGUUAUUAGGGCUAA
Molecule: long non-coding RNA, 739 nt
Organism: Tympanuchus pallidicinctus (lesser prairie-chicken)
Lineage: Eukaryota; Metazoa; Chordata; Aves; Galliformes; Phasianidae
Exons: 4
Source: RefSeq, a predicted model, not a curated record